RNAcentral lists this ribosomal RNA (2901 nucleotides) under Shigella dysenteriae 155-74. RNAcentral describes it as "bacterial LSU rRNA". It matches the Rfam family "Bacterial large subunit ribosomal RNA". Lineage: Bacteria; Pseudomonadati; Pseudomonadota; Gammaproteobacteria; Enterobacterales; Enterobacteriaceae. The record is from RNAcentral.
UUAAGCGACUAAGCGUACACGGUGGAUGCCCUGGCAGUCAGAGGCGAUGAAGGACGUGCUAAUCUGCGAUAAGCGUCGGUAAGGUGAUAUGAACCGUUAUAACCGGCGAUUUCCGAAUGGGGAAACCCAGUGUGUUUCGACACACUAUCAUUAACUGAAUCCAUAGGUUAAUGAGGCGAACCGGGGGAACUGAAACAUCUAAGUACCCCGAGGAAAAGAAAUCAACCGAGAUUCCCCCAGUAGCGGCGAGCGAACGGGGAGCAGCCCAGAGCCUGAAUCAGUGUGUGUGUUAGUGGAAGCGUCUGGAAAGGCGCGCGAUACAGGGUGACAGCCCCGUACACAAAAAUGCACAUGCUGUGAGCUCGAUGAGUAGGGCGGGACACGUGGUAUCCUGUCUGAAUAUGGGGGGACCAUCCUCCAAGGCUAAAUACUCCUGACUGACCGAUAGUGAACCAGUACCGUGAGGGAAAGGCGAAAAGAACCCCGGUGAGGGGAGUGGAAAAGAACCUGAAACCGUGUACGUACAAGCAGUGGGAGCCUCUUUAUGGGGUGACUGCGUACCUUUUGUAUAAUGGGUCAGCGACUUAUAUUCUGUAGCAAGGUUAACCGAAUAGGGGAGCCGAAGGGAAACCGAGUCUUAACUGGGCGUUAAGUUGCAGGGUAUAGACCCGAAACCCGGUGAUCUAGCCAUGGGCAGGUUGAAGGUUGGGUAACACUAACUGGAGGACCGAACCGACUAAUGUUGAAAAAUUAGCGGAUGACUUGUGGCUGGGGGUGAAAGGCCAAUCAAACCGGGAGAUAGCUGGUUCUCCCCGAAAGCUAUUUAGGUAGCGCCUCGUGAAUUCAUCUCCGGGGGUAGAGCACUGUUUCGGCAAGGGGGUCAUCCCGACUUACCAACCCGAUGCAAACUGCGAAUACCGGAGAAUGUUAUCACGGGAGACACACGGCGGGUGCUAACGUCCGUCGUGAAGAGGGAAACAACCCAGACCGCCAGCUAAGGUCCCAAAGUCAUGGUUAAGUGGGAAACGAUGUGGGAAGGCCCAGACAGCCAGGAUGUUGGCUUAGAAGCAGCCAUCAUUUAAAGAAAGCGUAAUAGCUCACUGGUCGAGUCGGCCUGCGCGGAAGAUGUAACGGGGCUAAACCAUGCACCGAAGCUGCGGCAGCGACGCUUAUGCGUUGUUGGGUAGGGGAGCGUUCUGUAGGCCUGUGAAGGUGUGCUGUGAGGCAUGCUGGAGGUAUCAGAAGUGCGAAUGCUGACAUAAGUAACGAUAAAGCGGGUGAAAAGCCCGCUCGCCGGAAGACCAAGGGUUCCUGUCCAACGUUAAUCGGGGCAGGGUGAGUCGACCCCUAAGGCGAGGCCGAAAGGCGUAGUCGAUGGGAAACAGGUUAAUAUUCCUGUACUUGGUGUUACUGCGAAGGGGGGACGGAGAAGGCUAUGUUGGCCGGGCGACGGUUGUCCCGGUUUAAGCGUGUAGGCUGAUUUUCCAGGCAAAUCCGGAAAAUCAAGGCUGAGGCGUGAUGACGAGGCACUACGGUGCUGAAGCAACAAAUGCCCUGCUUCCAGGAAAAGCCUCUAAGCAUCAGGUAACAUCAAAUCGUACCCCAAACCGACACAGGUGGUCAGGUAGAGAAUACCAAGGCGCUUGAGAGAACUCGGGUGAAGGAACUAGGCAAAAUGGUGCCGUAACUUCGGGAGAAGGCACGCUGAUAUGUAGGUGAAGUCCCUCGCGGAUGGAGCUGAAAUCAGUCGAAGAUACCAGCUGGCUGCAACUGUUUAUUAAAAACACAGCACUGUGCAAACACGAAAGUGGACGUAUACGGUGUGACGCCUGCCCGGUGCCGGAAGGUUAAUUGAUGGGGUCAGCGCAAGCGAAGCUCUUGAUCGAAGCCCCGGUAAACGGCGGCCGUAACUAUAACGGUCCUAAGGUAGCGAAAUUCCUUGUCGGGUAAGUUCCGACCUGCACGAAUGGCGUAAUGAUGGCCAGGCUGUCUCCACCCGAGACUCAGUGAAAUUGAACUCGCUGUGAAGAUGCAGUGUACCCGCGGCAAGACGGAAAGACCCCGUGAACCUUUACUAUAGCUUGACACUGAACAUUGAGCCUUGAUGUGUAGGAUAGGUGGGAGGCUUAGAAGUGUGGACGCCAGUCUGCAUGGAGCCGGCCUUGAAAUACCACCCUUUAAUGUUUGAUGUUCUAACGUGGACCCGUAAUCCGGGUUGCGGACAGUGUCUGGUGGGUAGUUUGACUGGGGCGGUCUCCUCCUAAAGAGUAACGGAGGAGCACGAAGGUUGGCUAAUCCUGGUCGGACAUCAGGAGGUUAGUGCAAUGGCAUAAGCCAGCUUGACUGCGAGCGUGACGGCGCGAGCAGGUGCGAAAGCAGGUCAUAGUGAUCCGGUGGUUCUGAAUGGAAGGGCCAUCGCUCAACGGAUAAAAGGUACUCCGGGGAUAACAGGCUGAUACCGCCCAAGAGUUCAUAUCGACGGCGGUGUUUGGCACCUCGAUGUCGGCUCAUCACAUCCUGGGGCUGAAGUAGGUCCCAAGGGUAUGGCUGUUCGCCAUUUAAAGUGGUACGCGAGCUGGGUUUAGAACGUCGUGAGACAGUUCGGUCCCUAUCUGCCGUGGGCGCUGGAGAACUGAGGGGGGCUGCUCCUAGUACGAGAGGACCGGAGUGGACGCAUCACUGGUGUUCGGGUUGUCAUGCCAAUGGCACUGCCCGGUAGCUAAAUGCGGAAGAGAUAAGUGCUGAAAGCAUCUAAGCACGAAACUUGCCCCGAGAUGAGUUCUCCCUGACUCCUUGAGAGUCCUGAAGGAACGUUGAAGACGACGACGUUGAUAGGCCGGGUGUGUAAGCGCAGCGAUGCGUUGAGCUAACCGGUACUAAUGAACCGUGAGGCUUAACCUU